UGGGGCGUAAUCAAACGUUAAGGCAGCGGUUUUUGGUGCCGCCAUCUCCUGAUUCGAAUCCGGGCGCCCCAGCCA
Molecule: transfer RNA, 75 nt
Filed under: Rhizobium leguminosarum
Lineage: Bacteria; Pseudomonadati; Pseudomonadota; Alphaproteobacteria; Hyphomicrobiales; Rhizobiaceae
Description: tRNA-Gln
Rfam family: tRNA
About the family: Transfer RNA (tRNA) molecules are approximately 80 nucleotides in length. Their secondary structure includes four short double-helical elements and three loops (D, anti-codon, and T loops). Further hydrogen bonds mediate the characteristic L-shaped molecular structure. tRNAs have two regions of fundamental functional importance: the anti-codon, which is responsible for specific mRNA codon recognition, and the 3' end, to which the tRNAs corresponding amino acid is attached (by aminoacyl-tRNA synthetases). tRNAs cope with the degeneracy of the genetic code in two manners: having more than one tRNA (with a specific anti-codon) for a particular amino acid; and 'wobble' base-pairing, i.e. permitting non-standard base-pairing at the 3rd anti-codon position.
Source: RNAcentral